CCUACGGGCGGCAGCAGUGGGGAAUAUUGCACAAUGGGGGAAACCCUGAUGCAGCGACGCCGCGUGAGUGAAGCAGUAUUUCGGUAUGUAAAGCUCUAUCAGCAGGGGAGAAAAUGACGGUAACUGAUUAAGAAGCCCCGGAUAAUUACGGGCCAGCAGCCGCGGUAAUACGUAGGGGGCAAGCGUUCUCCGGGUUUACUGGGGGGAAAGGGAGCGUAGACGGCAGCACAAGUCUGGAGUGAAAUGCCGGGGCUGAACCCCGGAACUGCUGUGGAAACUGUGCCGCUAGAGUGCAGGAGAGGUAAGUGGAAUUCCUAGUGUAGCGGUGAAAUGCGUAGAUAUUAGGAGGAACACCAGUGGCGAAGGCGGCUUACUGGACUGUAACUGACGUUGAGGCUCGAAAGCGUGGGGAGCAAACAGGAUUAGAUACCCUAGUAGUC
RNAcentral lists this ribosomal RNA (440 nucleotides) under uncultured bacterium. Its description in RNAcentral is "partial 16S ribosomal RNA". It matches the Rfam family "Bacterial small subunit ribosomal RNA", at positions 338 to 795 of the family's 1533-position model. The record is from RNAcentral.